Molecule: Y RNA, 102 nt
Filed under: Cavia aperea (Brazilian guinea pig)
Lineage: Eukaryota; Metazoa; Chordata; Mammalia; Rodentia; Caviidae
Description: Y RNA (ENSCAPG00000004442.1)
Rfam family: Y RNA
About the family: Y RNAs are components of the Ro ribonucleoprotein particle (Ro RNP), in association with Ro60 and La proteins. The Y RNAs and Ro60 and La proteins are well conserved, but the function of the Ro RNP is not known.
Source: RNAcentral
GGCUGGUCCGAUGGCAGUGGGUUAUCAGAACUUAUUAACAUUAGUGUCACUAAAGUUGUUAUACCACACCCCCNNNNCACUGCUAAAUUUGACUGGCUUAAA